RNAcentral lists this ribosomal RNA (724 nucleotides) under uncultured archaeon. Its description in RNAcentral is "bacterial SSU rRNA". It matches the Rfam family "Archaeal small subunit ribosomal RNA", at positions 149 to 874 of the family's 1478-position model. The record is from RNAcentral.
AUACCGGAUAGAUCAUAGAUACUGGAAUGUUCAUUGAUCUAAAGCUCCGGCGUCCAAGGAUGGAUCUGCGACCUAUCAGGUAGUAGUGGGUGUAACGUACCUACUAGCCUACGACGGGUACGGGUUGUGAGAGCAAGAGCCCGGAGAUGGAUUCUGAGACAUGAAUCCAGGCCCUACGGGGCGCAGCAGGCGCGAAAUCUUUACAAUGCAGGAAACUGCGAUAAGGGGACCCCGAGUGCCAGCAUCUAAUGCUGGCUGUCCAGCUGUGUAAAUAGCAGUUGUUAGCAAGGGCCGGGCAAGACCGGUGCCAGCCGCCGCGGUAACACCGGCGGCCCGAGUGGUAACCGAUUUUAUUGGGUUUAAAGGGUCCGUAGCCGGCCUAUUAAGUCUCUUGGGAAAUCUGGCGGCUUAAUCGUCAGACGUUCAAGAGAUACUGAUGGGCUUGGGACCGGUAGAGGUGGGAGGUACUCCAGGGGUAGAGGUGAAAUUUUGUAAUCCUUGGGGGACCAUCGAUGGCGAAGGCAUCCCACUAGAACGGGUCCGACGGUGAGGGACGAAAGCUGGGGGCACGAACCGGAUUAGAUACCCGGGUAGUCCCAGCCGUAAACGAUGCUCGCUAGGUGUCAGGUGCGGUGCGACCGCAUUUGGUGCCGAAGUGAAAACUUGAAGCGAGCCACCUGGGAAGUACGGUCGCAAGGCUGAAACUUAAAGGAAUUGGCGGGGG